RNAcentral lists this small RNA (212 nucleotides) under Pseudomonas sp. StFLB209. RNAcentral's name for it is "PhrS". It matches the Rfam family "PhrS". Lineage: Bacteria; Pseudomonadati; Pseudomonadota; Gammaproteobacteria; Pseudomonadales; Pseudomonadaceae. The record is from Rfam by way of RNAcentral.
AUCGAACAGCAGCAACCGGAGCAAGCCACCAUGUUUUUUCUGGACAACCCACAGACCGUCGUAACCGUGGCCUACGUCAGCGCCAGCAUGCUGACCCUGUUCUUCAUCAGCAUGGGCCUCUUCCUCUGGAAAGACUCGCAGCACUAAGAGUUGCAGCUUUUCACAACGAGCACGCAAGGCAUUUUGGGCGACUUCGGUCGCCCAUUUUUUUU